UUUGAACUCAGUCAGUGCUCUUAACUGCUGAGCCAUCUCUCCAGUCCCUUUCCUGCUCUUUUUAGCCGUGCACUUCUGUUCUUUCUUCUCUACCUGGGAGAAGCAGAAGACCCCAGUCUUUCCUAUGGCAUAUGCUGACGGCUGUUAGGGUUUGAAUCUGAGGUUGCCCAGAGGUGCAGUGGUUCCCAGUUUGUAACACUAGUUGAAAGCCAACAGGCCUGUAGGAUGUGGGGCCUGGAUGCAGGCAGUGGGUUGCUAAGGGUGAGUGUUUACCCUGCCCAUGUCCCUGGUUCCAGCCUGUGCCUUCUGCCAUCUUUCUGUGCACUAUAAACAGCAAGUAGUGAGGACGGAGUUACUCCCAACACCGGAGCUACUCCCAACGCCAGGUGUACCCUGCAAUGAUGGAUUGAGAUGUCUCUGAAACCAUGAGACAAAACAAACCUCCUCCUUUAAUUGUUUCUGUCCAAGUAUUUGUCACAAGAAAGAGAAGAAUGACUAACGAAAUCAAACAAAUAAGGCACUCUAUCCUGCCUAUUCCCAUCCUUCAUUCCACUGUUAACGCCGUAUAUUCAUCCGACAGACAUUCCCUCACCCCCUUUUUGCAAGGGCACUUUCUAGAUACUGAGAAGUGAGGGUAGACAGAGAAUGUAAUUGUAAUAUACACUUACACACACAAACAUUCACAUAUACUCACAUAUACACUCAACCAUAUAUACAUGUGUGUGUAAUUAUAGCCUAUGGGGAUAUAUAGUUACCUUUUAAAAUAUUUUUUCAUAUUUUUUCCUGCAUCCCUGUGUAUACAUUUCUCUGGUCUCUGGUUUCAAACUAUACAAGGACAAACCCUGUACUUGGAAGUCAUCUCUGAUUGGGGAAUGUAAAGAGAUACCUCCCAAAGUACAUCAUUGUCAAUUGCGUUUUCCCCCUACUGACAUCAAAAGUCAGGGUAGGUAAAGACAUGCAAAUACAAGUUUCAUUUCAAGAGAAACAGCAGGAGAAGCUCUGGCAAACUGGAUAAUUUCGAUUACUGAAUGGUACAUGUUCAUUACUCAUUAUUUAUAAGGCGAUAGAGAACCCCCCCCCCACACACACACCCGUGCCUGCUGGGUUAAUGGGAAAAUUUCCAGUAAAGCCUAGCGAUGCCAAUGCUCUGUGUGUGCUGUGUAAAGCCCACAGUGAACUAGAAGGUCAGGCCUUCUUAAUUCAUUAGUCGGUAACCUAUUAGUUCUGAAAGCUACUGAGUCUGCUUUGUCAUCGUUUUCCCAGAGCAUUCCCCAGAGUAGCACUCUCUCUGUAAAAUAUUGAGCUUAUUAAGAGUUUUUGGACCUCUGAUUAACGUUCACAGCAAAAAGCUGUGUUAAGUAAAUUAGGCACUAGAUAAAUCUAAAGUGAUUGUGAGCCGUCGUCAGCUAAAUUAGGACGCUGAUGGCUCGCAUAACAAGAUGCAAAGCAAUAGUAAUUAAGAAAAAUAAUCACCUUGGCUGCUGAGAGCUCAGGCUUGGCCUCAGGUGAAGCAAAUCUCCAGCUAUGUCUUGUAAACAGUGAGGCAAAUCUUACUGUUUUGUCCUUUUAUGAAGGAGUGGGCUUAGAUCCUAGCCCUCUUGGACAGUCUAGUGGAAUGGUAUGUGUAAAGAGUAACCUUGAUUGCAGGAGAACAACAGUAUCGUCGUUACUGUUCUGUUGCUGUGAAGACACGCAUGACCAAGAUUUCUUUAGGGACAGGAAGUCAUCCUGUGACCAGUUCUGACCAGUGGGACAUGGGUGGCAGCUCCUGGGAAGAGCUUUCGCAAGCACAUGGACUCUGCUCUCUGCCCCUUCUCCUUUCUUCCUGCUUUGAACACAAGCAAAACACCCCUGUGAAGAUGCAGUAACCAUGCUUGAAGGCUGGUAACACAGGAAGCCAGGCGUUCCGUUCUGUUCGUGAUUCUUGGGUGCACGCCGAAUUGGGAAUUGAGUGGGGGUUUCCCCACUAGGUUCUUUCAUUUUCAUUCAUAAUGUUCACACAUGGGAUUCUCUGGAGAGCACAGGCCAAGCCGUGUGAAUGCAGUCUGAGGACAGGAACUCGGGAUCACUUCAGCUGGAGUCAACACAUCCAUGGGGACCCGUGAGAUGGCUAUGUGGACAAAGGUGCUUGUCACCAAGCCUGACAGACUGGGUUUGGUCCCCAGAACCUACACAGCGGAAGGAGAGAACCUAUCCCCACAGGUUGUCCUCAGACCUUCAAGUUCACUAGAGUGCUUUGAACUUUGCAGAACUGUAGAGAGCUCACUGCCACUUCCUGGGAAGGACUCAUGUUCCCUGCGUUUGCAAUCAUUUCCCUCAAACUUGACCUGCCGCCUCCUAAAGACCACCAAGCUCCUAUUGGACCUUCAGGAUUCCCAGGCUUCUCUGAUAGUUUUCUUCUAAUACUUCUGUUUACUUCCCAGGUCCAAAGCCAUCUCAAUAUGUGAGGAUUUUGUCAGGGCAGUCCUGUUGCAUGUUCAGUACCAAAAUUUAUAUUAGCGAUCUACUGUGGGAUGAUAAAGUACUAACAACUUAAUAUUUGAAGACAAGAAGCUGGUGUCUCACAUUUAUGUGGGUUAAGAAUUUGAGAGUAGUUGAGCUUGGGGCUUCUUGUUCAUCUUCUCUUAUUGUAGUCAAAAUAUGAACGAAGAUGGCAGUCAUCAGGAGGUU
Molecule: long non-coding RNA, 2670 nt
Organism: Mus musculus (house mouse)
Lineage: Eukaryota; Metazoa; Chordata; Mammalia; Rodentia; Muridae
Product: predicted gene, 45938
Exons: 4
Source: RefSeq, a predicted model, not a curated record